ACGAUGAACAGAGCCUGGUACCCAGAUGCCACCACUAGCCCAGGGCAGCUGCUGGGAAGGCCUCGAGCGCAGUCACAAGCUCCCCAACACCAUUUGGCGUCCUGCACUCACCAAGGUCAGCUCUGAGGGAGGCUAACCUACAAGUAGAGAGCCAGGCAGAGGCCAUAGGGAAC
This 173-nucleotide long non-coding RNA is filed under the name Chinchilla lanigera (long-tailed chinchilla). RNAcentral describes it as "lncRNA (ENSCLAG00000027318.1)". The record is from RNAcentral. Lineage: Eukaryota; Metazoa; Chordata; Mammalia; Rodentia; Chinchillidae.